Molecule: ribosomal RNA, 253 nt
Filed under: uncultured bacterium
Lineage: Bacteria
Description: partial 16S ribosomal RNA
Rfam family: Bacterial small subunit ribosomal RNA
Source: RNAcentral
UACGGAGGGUGCAAGCGCUAUUCGGAAUCAUUGGGCGUAAAGGGCGCGUAGGCGGUUCGGUAAGUCGGGUGUGAAAGCCCCGGGCUCAACCCGGGAAGUGCAUCCGAAACUGCCGGACUUGAGUACGGGAGGGGGAAGUGGAAUUCCUGGUGUAGGGGUGAAAUCCGUAGAUAUCAGGAGGAACACCGGUGGCGAAGGCGACUUCCUGGACCGAUACUGACGCUGAGGCGCGAAAGCGUGUGGAGCAAACAGG